AACAACUCACCUGCCGAAUGGACUAGCCCUGAAAAUGGAUGGCGCUGAAGCGGGUGGCCGAGACCACACCGUUUGACGAAUUGGCAACUCGUCGAAUGAGUAGGAGGGCGUGGCGGCCGUGGAGAAGCCGGUGGGCAAUCACUGGUGGAACGGCCGCGAGUGCAGAUCUUGGUGGUAGUAGCAAAUAUUCAAGUGGGUGAACAAACCUUGAAGGGUGAAGCGGGGAAGGGUUUUAUGUGAACAUUGAUUGGGCAUAAGUGAGUCGUUCCUAAGCUGCUGGUUUAUUCUCUCGGGAAUUUUUCUGGCGAAAGGGAAGCAGGUUGACAUUCCUGCACACGGAUGUGGAGGCGGUGACGCCGUUUGAGACAAACACGUUGGCGACAGCUCUGGGCAGAGUUAUCUUUUCUGUUUGACGUCAGGGUGCGCUGUGUGGAAUCCGCUUGUCGGGAGAAACACGCGUGCCCGGGCAGAGCGCCGGACUUUUCCGGCGUCCAGAUCGCUGUCGACAGCCCUUGAAACUUUGUCUGCUGAAGUGAACAAUCCACGCCGUGACGUACCGAUAACCGCAUCAGGUCCCCAAGGUGAACAGCCUCUACUCAAUAUGAACAAU
RNAcentral lists this ribosomal RNA (610 nucleotides) under Asparagopsis taxiformis. RNAcentral describes it as "eukaryotic LSU rRNA". It matches the Rfam family "Eukaryotic large subunit ribosomal RNA", at positions 1284 to 1899 of the family's 3401-position model. Lineage: Eukaryota; Rhodophyta; Florideophyceae; Bonnemaisoniales; Bonnemaisoniaceae. The record is from RNAcentral.